This 460-nucleotide ribosomal RNA is filed under the name uncultured bacterium. RNAcentral's name for it is "partial 16S ribosomal RNA". It matches the Rfam family "Bacterial small subunit ribosomal RNA", at positions 338 to 795 of the family's 1533-position model. The record is from RNAcentral.
CCUACGGGUGGCAGCAGUGAGGAAUAUUGGUCAAUGGGCGCGAGCCUGAACCAGCCAAGCAGCGUGAAGGAUGACUGCCCUACGGGCUGUAAACUUCUUUUAUAAAGGAAUAAGGUGAGGCGAGUGUGCCUUUUUGUAUGUACUUUAUGAAUAAGGAUCGGCUAACCCCGUGCCAGCAGCCGCGGUAAUACGGAGGAUCCGAGCGUUAUCCGGAUUUAUUGGGUUUAAGGGGAGCGUAGAUGGGUUGUUAAGUCAGUUGUGAAAGUUUGCGGUUCAACCGGACAAGUGCAAUUGAUACUGGCAGUCUUGAGUACAGUUGAGGUAGGCGGAAUUCGUGGUGUAGCGGUGAAAUGCUUAGAUAUCACGAAGAACUCCGAUUGCGAAGGCAGCUUACUAAACUGCCACUGACAUUGAUGCUCGAAAGUGUGGGUAUCAAACAGGAUUAGAUACUCGAGUAGUC